RNAcentral lists this small nuclear RNA (95 nucleotides) under Mus caroli (Ryukyu mouse). The record is from RNAcentral. Lineage: Eukaryota; Metazoa; Chordata; Mammalia; Rodentia; Muridae.
GUGCUCGCUUCAGCAGCACAUGUACCAAAAGAGAAGAUUAGCAUGACCCCUGCGCAAGGAUGACACGCAAAUUCGUGAAGCGUUCCAUAUUUUUU